Camellia sinensis is the source of this 1069-nucleotide non-coding RNA. Lineage: Eukaryota; Viridiplantae; Streptophyta; Magnoliopsida; Ericales; Theaceae. The record is from RefSeq and is a predicted model, not a curated record.
ACAGUUUUCAACUGUUAUAAGCUUGUGUUUGUGAAAGCUGCUUCUUGAAUGUUGUUUAAUUGCAUUAUACAGUGGCUGGUUGUCUCAUCUCACGAACAGUUGUUGCUUGUUGUUCUUGAUAUGUGGGGGCUUCAACAGGUAAAGGAGAGAUAAGAAAAAUAAAGAGUCAGAAAGAAGAGAAGACAAUUGAAUUGGUGAGUGAGAUUGCUGCUGGUUGCAGCGUGAGGAAGAAGGGGGAGGAGGAAAGAGAAAAGUAAAGAAAAAAAUAGGGGGAGUAUGUGUCCAUGAUAUGUUCAAAGUUGCUGUCAUUAAAGACAAAAGCCCAGCGGACCCUGGUUAGUUCUUCACCAUCAGGACCUGCUUAUACCGUUGAAAAUUCUGCACAUCAAGAAUCUGACAGGCCUUUGGCCCAGCUGUAUGAUCAAGGACAAUCACUCUCUAAUCCAUUGGCCAGUCAUCCUGAAACAUCUAAGCAGCUGUUAUUCCAGGAAUUUCAAAAUUGUAUUGCUUCUAUUGUACAAAGUUCUGCCAAUUCAACAUUGACAGUGACUACUUCCACUAAUUCUACUAGGAUUCCCAUGACAAGAGUUAACAAGAAUCCAAACUUGGAGACGACUAUUUAACAGAGGCAGGUGCAGGGAAGGCAAUGUGUGCUUCCGGUUGUUCCUCAACCAGACCAGCAGCAUGUUCAGAAUGCAGAGAAAUAUCCUUACAAGCAGAAAUUAGAAGAUCAGCAUCUGAAGCAGAGCUUCAAUCAGGGAAAUAUCAUUCACUCUGACAUGCAAACUGAGAUCCAGCAAGGGGAACAGAAGCACAUUAUCUCAUCACCAUCACAGCAAUCUGUCAUUGUAGCAUUUUCUGUUAUGCAGCCUUCUGUGAUGCAAUCAGCCUCGGCAGAAUCCAGAGUCUUCUGUUCAACUGCCAAUGCAAUCUGGACUACAGCAACAUCCGUAGUCAAUCUCCGAAAAUAAUACAUGUGUAUUAGAAUUUUUACAAAUAUCACUUUACAUUUAUUGUAUAUAAUAUUCGAAUAUAUAUAUAUAUAUAUAUGAGAAUAUAGGUUGCUAAA